This 684-nucleotide ribosomal RNA is filed under the name Enterococcus faecalis EnGen0208. RNAcentral's name for it is "bacterial SSU rRNA". It matches the Rfam family "Bacterial small subunit ribosomal RNA", at positions 836 to 1520 of the family's 1533-position model. Lineage: Bacteria; Bacillati; Bacillota; Bacilli; Lactobacillales; Enterococcaceae. The record is from RNAcentral.
CCCUUCAGUGCUGCAGCAAACGCAUUAAGCACUCCGCCUGGGGAGUACGACCGCAAGGUUGAAACUCAAAGGAAUUGACGGGGGCCCGCACAAGCGGUGGAGCAUGUGGUUUAAUUCGAAGCAACGCGAAGAACCUUACCAGGUCUUGACAUCCUUUGACCACUCUAGAGAUAGAGCUUUCCCUUCGGGGACAAAGUGACAGGUGGUGCAUGGUUGUCGUCAGCUCGUGUCGUGAGAUGUUGGGUUAAGUCCCGCAACGAGCGCAACCCUUAUUGUUAGUUGCCAUCAUUUAGUUGGGCACUCUAGCGAGACUGCCGGUGACAAACCGGAGGAAGGUGGGGAUGACGUCAAAUCAUCAUGCCCCUUAUGACCUGGGCUACACACGUGCUACAAUGGGAAGUACAACGAGUCGCUAGACCGCGAGGUCAUGCAAAUCUCUUAAAGCUUCUCUCAGUUCGGAUUGCAGGCUGCAACUCGCCUGCAUGAAGCCGGAAUCGCUAGUAAUCGCGGAUCAGCACGCCGCGGUGAAUACGUUCCCGGGCCUUGUACACACCGCCCGUCACACCACGAGAGUUUGUAACACCCGAAGUCGGUGAGGUAACCUUUUUGGAGCCAGCCGCCUAAGGUGGGAUAGAUGAUUGGGGUGAAGUCGUAACAAGGUAGCCGUAUCGGAAGGUGCGGCUG